Molecule: ribosomal RNA, 460 nt
Filed under: uncultured bacterium
Lineage: Bacteria
Description: partial 16S ribosomal RNA
Rfam family: Bacterial small subunit ribosomal RNA
Source: RNAcentral
CCUACGGGUGGCAGCAGUGAGGAAUAUUGGUCAAUGGACGAGAGUCUGAACCAGCCAAGUAGCGUGCAGGAUGACUGCCCUAUGGGUUGUAAACUUCUUUUAUAUGGGAAUAAAACAGGGUAUGUAUACCCUCUUGUAUGUAUCAUAUCAAUAAGGAUCGGCUAACACUGUGUCAGCAGCCGCGGUAAUACGGAGGAUCUGAGCGUUAUCCGGAUUUAUUGGGUUUAAAGGGAGAGUAGGUGGCUUGUUAAGUCAGUUGUGAAAGUUUGCGGCGCAACCGUGUAAUUGCAGUUGAAACUGGCAGUCUUGAGUACAGUAGGGGUGGGCGGAAUUCGUGGUGUAGCGGUGAAAUGCUUAGAUAUCACGAAGAACUCCGAUUGCGAAGGCAGCUCACUGGACUGCAACUGACACUGAGGCUCGAAAGUGUGGGUAUCAAACAGGAUUAGAUACCCCGGUAGUC